This 636-nucleotide ribosomal RNA is filed under the name Coccus hesperidum. Its description in RNAcentral is "partial 28S ribosomal RNA". It matches the Rfam family "Eukaryotic large subunit ribosomal RNA", at positions 599 to 869 of the family's 3401-position model. The record is from RNAcentral. Lineage: Eukaryota; Metazoa; Arthropoda; Insecta; Hemiptera; Coccidae.
GAUAUUUCCGUCGCCGACCCUCAAUCGAGGGUGUCGGACGUCGCGACCCGUUCGCCAGAUCGAUGCUCAGGGGCGCGUCUCAAGUUCGUAUGCGCGGCCGUUUCGGCGGUCGCGCGGCGAUGACGCGUUUCCACUGUUUUCGACGCGGACGGUAGCUUUGCGCGCGGGUAAUCGAGGCGGUCCUUCGUCCGGCGUCUCGUACGUCGGACGGCGCUCGCCUCGACGCCGGUCAGCGACGAAUCUUCGGGCCUCUUUCCGACCCGUCUUGAAACACGGACCAAGGAGUCUAGCGUGCGCGCGAGUCGCGGGGUAUCCGAGGAGUAGUAGUCGUUUCGGCGGCGAACGCUCCUCGUCACGAUACGAAACCCGUGUACGUACGUUGUGCGAAGGCGUAAUGAAAGUGAAAGGCGGCGCUUCGCGCGUCGCCGGGGGAAGACGGUCGACCGUGUACACGUUUCGCGACCGCGUAUGUGUCGCGACCGGUCACCCGCAUUCCCAGGGCGUCCCGCUCGUACGUCGGCGGCCGGGGUUCGCUUCGACCGUCGACGAACUGGGGCGCACCUACAGCGUGCACGCUGGUACCCGAAAGAUGGUGAACUAUGCCUGGCCAGGAUGAAGUCAGGGGAAACCCUGAUG